Anolis carolinensis (green anole) is the source of this 119-nucleotide ribosomal RNA. The record is from Ensembl. NCBI's taxonomy places the organism in Eukaryota, Metazoa, Chordata, Lepidosauria, Squamata, Anolidae.
GCCUACGGCCAUACCACUCUGAAUGCGCCCGAUCUCGUUUGAUCUCGGAAGCUUAGGAGAGUCGGACCUGGCUAGUACUUGGAUGGGAGACCACCAAGGAAUACUGGGUGCUGUAGGCG